This 575-nucleotide long non-coding RNA is filed under the name Rattus norvegicus (Norway rat). RNAcentral's name for it is "long non-coding RNA NONRATT003172". Lineage: Eukaryota; Metazoa; Chordata; Mammalia; Rodentia; Muridae. The record is from RNAcentral.
GGGGAUUCACUGGCCGUGCCCCUCUCCUUCUAAGGGACAUGGUGCUGAUUCUACACGGGUUCCCGUCUGCUGUGGCCGCCCUUCGGCUCCACCACCACACAUGCCCAUUGCCUUUGGACCGCCACCACCCCAGCCCUUGGUCCCAAAACGACCCGCUGCAAGUGAGGCUGACAGUGAGCGACGGCUGGAUCUAGGUGCCAAGGCCAGCUGCACUCUAUGUGCGCGUAUGCUGCAGGAUGAAGAGGGCCCCUUGUGUUGCCCCCAUCCUGGUUGUCCCCUAAGGGCCCAUAUCAUCUGCUUGGCAGAGGAGUUCCUGCAGGAAGAGCCUGGGCAGCUUCUGCCCCUAGAGGGCCAUUGUCCUAGCUGCAAGAAGUCACUACUUUGGGGAAACCUGGUUGGGCAGUGCCACGAGGACACCGAGGAGGAAGAGGUGGAUUUGGAAUUAGAGGAGGAACACUGGACAGACUUGCUGGAGACUUGAUCCUAAGUGUCCCCAACUUUGACCCCUGCACCUUUUCUGCCUCUCAAGUCAAUUGACAGCUUAACUUGGGCACAAUAAAAAGGCUGAGUUAGGG